UCUGGGAAAUGAUGAAAAAGAUAAAUACGGAUAAGCAGAGGCUCCAAUGGUUGAGCUAUGCUGAAUGUUUUUGCACGUCAGUCUGAUCCCAAA
Molecule: small nucleolar RNA, 93 nt
Organism: Telopea speciosissima
Lineage: Eukaryota; Viridiplantae; Streptophyta; Magnoliopsida; Proteales; Proteaceae
Product: small nucleolar RNA Z122
Exons: 1
Source: RefSeq, a predicted model, not a curated record